RNAcentral lists this non-coding RNA (31 nucleotides) under Rattus norvegicus (Norway rat). Lineage: Eukaryota; Metazoa; Chordata; Mammalia; Rodentia; Muridae. The record is from RNAcentral.
UAAAAAUUUCAAAAGGUAGCCUAUCAAAACC